AAACUUUUAGUAUAAUUAGUACGUUCAGUUUCCACCUGAAAGGAUUUAUUUUUAAAAAAGUUUA
Molecule: transfer RNA, 64 nt
Filed under: Pediculus humanus corporis (human body louse)
Lineage: Eukaryota; Metazoa; Arthropoda; Insecta; Psocodea; Pediculidae
Description: tRNA tRNA-Gly
Source: RNAcentral